GAUGAACGCUGGCGGCGUGCUUAACACAUGCAAGUCGAACGAAGCACCUUGAUUCGAUUCUUCGGAUGAAGAUCUUGGUGACUGAGUGGCGGACGGGUGAGUAACGCGUGGGUAACCUGCCUCAUACAGGGGGAUAACAGUUAGAAAUGACUGCUAAUACCGCAUAAGACCACAGCACCGCAUGGUGCAGGGGUAAAAACUCCGGUGGUAUGAGAUGGACCCGCGUCUGAUUAGGUAGUUGGUGGGGUAACGGCCUACCAAGCCGACGAGCAGUAGCCGACCUGAGAGGGUGACCGGCCACAUUGGGACUGAGACACGGCCCAAACUCCUACGGGAGGCAGCAGUGGGGAAUAUUGCACAAUGGGGGAAACCCUGAUGCAGCGACGCCGCGUGAGCGAUGAAGUAGUUCGGUAUGUAAAGCUCUAUCAGCAGGGAAGAAAAUGACGGUACCUGACUAAGAAGCACCGGCUAAAUACGUG
Molecule: ribosomal RNA, 479 nt
Filed under: uncultured bacterium
Lineage: Bacteria
Description: partial 16S ribosomal RNA
Rfam family: Bacterial small subunit ribosomal RNA
Source: RNAcentral